This 1421-nucleotide ribosomal RNA is filed under the name Streptomyces cyaneus. RNAcentral describes it as "bacterial SSU rRNA". It matches the Rfam family "Bacterial small subunit ribosomal RNA". Lineage: Bacteria; Bacillati; Actinomycetota; Actinomycetes; Kitasatosporales; Streptomycetaceae. The record is from RNAcentral.
UUUGCGGGCGCUACCAUGCAGUCGACGAUGACCACUUCGGUGGGGAUUAGUGGCGAACGGGUGAGUAACACGUGGGCAAUCUGCCCUUCACUCUGGGACAAGCCCUGGAAACGGGGUCUAAUACCGGAUAUCACUUCCACUCGCAUGGGUGGGGGUUGAAAGCUCCGGCGGUGAAGGAUGAGCCCGCGGCCUAUCAGCUUGUUGGUGAGGUAACGGCUCACCAAGGCGACGACGGGUAGCCGGCCUGAGAGGGCGACCGGCCACACUGGGACUGAGACACGGCCCAGACUCCUACGGGAGGCAGCAGUGGGGAAUAUUGCACAAUGGGCGAAAGCCUGAUGCAGCGACGCCGCGUGAGGGAUGACGGCCUUCGGGUUGUAAACCUCUUUCAGCAGGGAAGAAGCGAAAGUGACGGUACCUGCAGAAGAAGCGCCGGCUAACUACGUGCCAGCAGCCGCGGUAAUACGUAGGGCGCAAGCGUUGUCCGGAAUUAUUGGGCGUAAAGAGCUCGUAGGCGGCUUGUCACGUCGGGUGUGAAAGCCCGGGGCUUAACCCCGGGUCUGCAUUCGAUACGGGCUAGCUAGAGUGUGGUAGGGGAGAUCGGAAUUCCUGGUGUAGCGGUGAAAUGCGCAGAUAUCAGGAGGAACACCGGUGGCGAAGGCGGAUCUCUGGGCCAUUACUGACGCUGAGGAGCGAAAGCGUGGGGAGCGAACAGGAUUAGAUACCCUGGUAGUCCACGCCGUAAACGGUGGGAACUAGGUGUUGGCGACAUUCCACGUCGUCGGUGCCGCAGCUAACGCAUUAAGUUCCCCGCCUGGGGAGUACGGCCGCAAGGCUAAAACUCAAAGGAAUUGACGGGGGGCCCGCACAAGCAGCGGAGCAUGUGGCUUAAUUCGACGCAACGCGAAGAACCUUACCAAGGCUUGACAUACACCGGAAACGGCCAGAGAUGGUCGCCCCCUUGUGGUCGGUGUACAGGUGGUGCAUGGCUGUCGUCAGCUCGUGUCGUGAGAUGUUGGGUUAAGUCCCGCAACGAGCGCAACCCUUGUCCUGUGUUGCCAGCAUGCCCUUCGGGGUGAUGGGGACUCACAGGAGACCGCCGGGGUCAACUCGGAGGAAGGUGGGGACGACGUCAAGUCAUCAUGCCCCUUAUGUCUUGGGCUGCACACGUGCUACAAUGGCAGGUACAAUGAGCUGCGAAACCGUGAGGUGGAGCGAAUCUCAAAAAGCCUGUCUCAGUUCGGAUUGGGGUCUGCAACUCGACCCCAUGAAGUCGGAGUUGCUAGUAAUCGCAGAUCAGCAUUGCUGCGGUGAAUACGUUCCCGGGCCUUGUACACACCGCCCGUCACGUCACGAAAGUCGGUAACACCCGAAGCCGGUGGCCCAACCCCUUGUGGGAGGGAGCUUCGAAGUGAUCCCGG